CGAUGAAACUGACAGCUGACAUCCCCCAAAAUAACCACACAAAAAACAUUCAGUCACUUACUGAUAUGUCAAUUUCCAAUAAGUGAACUUAAGUGAAAUGAGAAUAAGAAAACCUAGAGGCUUAUCAGCACUAUCGACGACACAAUUAAUGGUAACAGUAGCUGUAGGAGUUCUUGGAGGAAUAUACAUUUACAACCCAUUGCUGAGGGAUAAUCAAAACAAAUUACAUAACGACAGCACAGAACCGGUAGAAACGAAUACAUCAACUAAACCGAGUCUUUCUGUGUCACCCGAACCAGUCGCUGCGGCAAAAUGACCUCUGCGUCUCGAACAUCAAAGCCUGCGGCUAUUUUCCCGUUGAUGGCUACAGGACUUGGUCUUUCAUUCGUUUUUGUGAUUGGAUAUCGAUUUUGGCUGGGUCCGUACUUGGAGAGUAGAAGACGCGAACAAAAUAAAGUAUUCGCCGAUUCAUUAUGGGCUAUGGAACAUAAGCAGGAACCGGAAGGAUGAGAGCUAUGGUCAGUGAACUAAGAACGUUUAGAAAAUAGAGGUUUAUUCAAGAAUUAAAGGAAAAUAACGAAAA
Molecule: long non-coding RNA, 583 nt
Organism: Bradysia coprophila
Lineage: Eukaryota; Metazoa; Arthropoda; Insecta; Diptera; Sciaridae
Source: RefSeq, a predicted model, not a curated record